AUGGGUUCCGGGUGGGCUAGGUGCGGGGGCUGGGGACCGAAUGAGCCCCAAAGGCAAGGUUGAGGCUGGAACCAGUCCUUAGAUGGGGCUGCUGGUGGGGGUCGCGGUCUGUUUCUGAGGCGGGGUUGGAGGUGGGAUACGUUUUGUGCGUAUUUAGAUCGCUGAAUACUGGCGCCUGAAGGGCGUGGCUGCGGGCAGGGACCCACCCCAAGCAAGCACAUCAAAAGGUCUUCUACGUGCCUCUCGCCUCGUUCCUAGAGCCCUAACAGUGAUUUUCCCAUAUCGAUAAUCCUGCCGAUCCAUGAAGUAGUCUGUCUCCUCCGGUCAAUUCCACAAGGCAGGAUACAGUGCUAAACUCAAAUGCUGUCCCCUGCAUCUGGGGUUUUUUCAUUGUUGCUAAAUCAGUAAGCAAUCGAAGACAGCAUCACGUUUGCUAGACCUCAAAACUACUUGGCACGUAAGAUUUAAAGUUUCCCCUUUCUUUCAGUAGGGGGUGGGGGGAUUGCUUGUAGCUUCGUAAAGUCCCAGCCUUUAUACUUAAUUUUUUUCUUUUGGUCUCGUGUUUCCCUGGUUUUCUUUAUUUCUUUAUUUAGUUUUUCUUUAGAUAUUUACCUGCUAAGCUCCUGGUGGUCCCGAGUGACCCCUGCUGUGAGCAGUGGCCUCCCUUUCUAGACUGUCCCUAUCAACCUCAGGGGGACUAGAGUCUAUAUCCAAGGUGGGGGAAUCCUUAUUUUGUAACAAUUUGGUUUUCAGGAGGAUGCUCUUACAUGUUGAUAGGCAGCGGUACUCAUGAGAGCCCAAGCACACUGACCAGGAGAUUUACAAACUGAUUUGAGUUGAGAAACCCUCUGAGGUUUCUUGGGAGCAAGAACAAAAUGUUCCUUCCCCUUUUCCUUUUUCAUUAAACAUUGAGCCACCAGUCUCUAUGGAUGAGAUCCCUCAUAUCCCACUAGGUUGGGGAAUAAAUCACUACAGAAGCAAAGCAAGGAGCAACAGAGAGAUAGGUGAGGGCUGCUGGUGUCUUUGGUGGGGACAGCCACUGGGGAACUACUGAUCUCUUUGUCUGCCACAAGGGAUGUCAUGGAGGAGAUCUCUCUUGGUGUUGCAAGGAACAUCAUAACUAACAUGGUGAUGAAGAAAGGAAAAAAGAAGAGAUAAGACAAAGGGCAAAUGGGUGAGUUGCUGCCUACAGAAUAAGGAAUAAGUGGUGACUAAAGGCUUUCUCACUUUCAUCACAGAGGAACUCACUCCCAUGUGGAUUCUGCCGCUGUGGCUAUUCCAUACAAUGACCCCUUUCUGCCUGGGGCUCACCUCUAUAAGCACCUUGGAGAAUUCGUCUCUGCUCUGGCCUCAGCUCUUCCUGCUCCACCUCAGUGAACAGACUGUGUUUGCAGAGAUGAUGCCCUGCUCAUGGGGAAAGACACAUGAUGUGGGGAGACUGUGAAGGAAACAAGAAAUCUUUCCACAAAAUUGAUUCCAAUACUUUGGUUUUAAAGGAUUCUGAAGAUAGGCAAGUGCAGCUUUAGGAGAAGCAAAACAAUCAGAUUAUAUAACUAUUUCACAGGGCCCCAAAACAGACAUGCAUACUCCUUGUCCCACAUGACCUGACUCUUGAAUUCCAAGCCCAAGAUCUGCAAACUACCUAAAUUUUUUAAGGAUCGAGAAAAUACAAUCAGUGCAUUUUCAUGGGAAGCCAAAAGACUGCCCCACAAGGGCAGGAACCAUCCAUUCUGUCUUUACCAUGUACUACCAUUCUCUUCACAGUUGCUGGAACAGAUAUGUGAUGAAGAACUAUUAUGUGUAUGAACAAAUGAAUACGAAGGAAUGAGGUCAACUUUACCCACUGAGGCUAGGUUCCUAAAGUUCUCCAGCAUCACGUCUCUGUACAGGAUUUUCUGAGCAGGGUCCAGCAGUGCCCACUCCUCCUGUGAAAAGUCCACUGCCACUUCCUCGAAGGUCACCGAGUCCUAAAACAUCACAUGUACACAGGUUCAGCCAAGGACCAUCUCUAACUCUGAACCAGAAAGAUGGCGAGUGAGGCUGACAGGACUUGGGAAGGAGACCCAAUGUGUAGGAAGCUCAGACGUGCUUCAGAGUUCUCAUUAUUUGACCCAAGGCUCAAUUCUUGGAACUUUCCACUUUUGUCCUCACUCCCUGGACCAUAACAUCCAGCAGCUUAGCAGCUUUUCUAACACAGUGGAACUUAUAUUUCCACAACUAGGUUGUGAGGAAUCUGCCAGUCUUAUUGAAGAUCAAGACUGAGCAUACUGCAGAAUGAGAAAAAUACUUAGUGAAAAAAGUCUUUAUUUUCCUUCAUGGCACCGAGCAGAAUAUGGAACUAAUACUCACCCUGGAGGAUUAUCUGAAAAAAAAUUAACAAAUGUUGAGGCCUUUCCUAAGACAUCCUCUAUCUCCUAUUCUGAGAAGCCCAGAGAACUGGGGAAGCCUAAGGCCAGCCUGCCUGGGCUGUGAAGCUGUGGGUCAUGGGCAAGAGAUGUAUCCUUUAGCAACAGCAAUGAUUUUUGGAAACAGUAACUUCCCACAUACCUGUGACCAGGUUGCCAGCAAUCCUGCAGCCAUUCUUCCUCUUGUGUCUCCCUCCUGGCCAGGCUCCUGGACUGGAGCAUGCAGACCUAGAGAAGAAGAAAGAAGCCAUGAGAGUCUUGGCCUGACAGAUAUUCAACACUUACAGGCCUGGAAGCUUCCUCACACUAGCUUUAACAACGCACACACAAAUGCACAUAUAUGCACAUAUACAUACAAACAAUACAUUACAGAUUUUAUCUCCCUAUCCAAGAACAGUUAGGAAUGGGAAUACUGUAUGUACUUAUUAUUAUUUUUUUUGCGGUACACAGGCCUCUCACUGUCGUGGCCUCACCUGUUGCGGAGCACAGGCUCCGGAUGUGCAGGCUCAGUGGCCGUGGCUCAUGG
This is a non-coding RNA of Delphinapterus leucas (beluga whale), 2931 nucleotides long. NCBI's taxonomy places the organism in Eukaryota, Metazoa, Chordata, Mammalia, Artiodactyla, Monodontidae. The record is from RefSeq and is a predicted model, not a curated record.